Molecule: long non-coding RNA, 697 nt
Organism: Anguilla rostrata (American eel)
Lineage: Eukaryota; Metazoa; Chordata; Actinopteri; Anguilliformes; Anguillidae
Exons: 2
Source: RefSeq, a predicted model, not a curated record
UUGCCAGGGUGGAGGGUUUAGGUUUGUGUACAUAAGGUCGUGUGCUCGGCUUCUUCUUUUUUUUUUCUGGAAGUGCACCGCUCCGCCUCCUCUCUUCGCAACAUUGACGCAAUGUAUAAAUACUGGAACAAAAGGACAACUUCCUUGAAGCUUUGCUGAAACUGCAUUAAAAAAAGAGGCGCGAGGCGUCAUUGUCAGGUAGAUGGAAGUCUUGAACUGGAAUAUAAAUUUGCCUUUUGAAGAGGCGGACCGACGUGCACAUUCGAAUAGUGCAGCGCUUUCCAGGUUUCCCUAGCGCUCAAGCUGACUUCAGACAUCGGGCUUAAAAGUUGCUCAACACGUCCAUCAACUCCAGGUGAGCGUGUCACCUGGGAGGGUGUGGCAGGCUUUUCUGCUGGCAGGUAUGGUGAAACGGGAGGGGCCGGAUUCACCUCUCGCUCUCGGAGGUGUCUUCUGAAAAAGGGGAGAGGUCAUGUGGUCAGCCCAGUCAGUUCGCAUGUUGGAUGUCUUCAGUCUCCCACGGGAAGAUGAGGUUUAUACUCUCUAUGAUUUUUCAGGUGAGUAAAAUAGUCGUUUUUUUCUUUGGGGGAAGGGGGGGGGGGGGGGGCGGGAGCAGCAAAGAUUGCCCUGCUGUGUAUAAAAUGAGUCGUGACAGUUUUGUUUCGUAUGUUUGUUUCACCAAAAAAAAAAAAGAAAA